This 1343-nucleotide ribosomal RNA is filed under the name uncultured bacterium. RNAcentral describes it as "16S ribosomal RNA". It matches the Rfam family "Bacterial small subunit ribosomal RNA", at positions 28 to 1378 of the family's 1533-position model. The record is from RNAcentral.
GACGAACGCUGUUGGCGUGCUUAACACAUGCAAGUCGAACGGAAAGGCCCUGCUUUUGUGGGGUGCUCGAGUGGCGAACGGGUGAGUAACACGUGAGUAACCUGCCCUUGACUUUGGGAUAACUUCAGGAAACUGGGGCUAAUACCGGAUAGGAGCUCCUGCUGCAUGGUGGGGGUUGGAAAGUUUCGGCGGUUGGGGAUGGACUCGCGGCUUAUCAGCUUGUUGGUGGGGUAGUGGCUUACCAAGGCUUUGACGGGUAGCCGGCCUGAGAGGGUGACCGGCCACAUUGGGACUGAGAUACGGCCCAGACUCCUACGGGAGGCAGCAGUGGGGAAUAUUGCACAAUGGGCGGAAGCCUGAUGCAGCAACGCCGCGUGCGGGAUGACGGCCUUCGGGUUGUAAACCGCUUUCGCCUGUGACGAAGCGUGAGUGACGGUAAUGGGUAAAGAAGCACCGGCUAACUACGUGCCAGCAGCCGCGGUGAUACGUAGGGUGCGAGCGUUGUCCGGAUUUAUUGGGCGUAAAGGGCUCGUAGGUGGUUGAUCGCGUCGGAAGUGUAAUCUUGGGGCUUAACCCUGAGCGUGCUUUCGAUACGGGUUGACUUGAGGAAGGUAGGGGAGAAUGGAAUUCCUGGUGGAGCGGUGGAAUGCGCAGAUAUCAGGAGGAACACCAGUGGCGAAGGCGGUUCUCUGAGCCUUUCCUGACGCUGAGGAGCGAAAGCGUGGGGAGCGAACAGGCUUAGAUACCCUGGUAGUCCACGCUGUAAACGGUGGGUACUAGGUGUGGGGUCCAUUCCACGGGUUCCGUGCCGUAGCUAACGCUUUAAGUACCCCGCCUGGGGAGUACGGCCGCAAGGCUAAAACUCAAAGGAAUUGACGGGGCCCCGCACAAGCGGCGGAGCAUGCGGAUUAAUUCGAUGCAACGCGUAGAACCUUACCUGGGUUUGACAUGGAUCGGGAGUGCUCAGAGAUGGGUGUGCCUCUUUUGGGGUCGGUUCACAGGUGGUGCAUGGCUGUCGUCAGCUCGUGUCGUGAGAUGUUGGGUUAAGUCCCGCAACGAGCGCAACCCUUGUUCACUGUUGCCAGCACGUUAUGGUGGGGACUCAGUGGAGACCGCCGGGGUCAACUCGGAGGAAGGUGGGGAUGACGUCAAGUCAUCAUGCCCCUUAUGUCCAGGGCUUCACGCAUGCUACAAUGGCUGGUACAGAGAGUGGCGAGCCUGUGAGGGUGAGCGAAUCUCGGAAAGCCGGUCUCAGUUCGGAUUGGGGUCUGCAACUCGACCUCAUGAAGUCGGAGUCGCUAGUAAUCGCAGAUCAGCAACGCUGCGGUGAAUACGUUCCCGGG